AUCCUUUUGUAGUUCAUAAGCAUGAUGAUCGGGUGUUCAUGUCUGAGCAUGAGAUGUGCCUCCCUCAAACCUUGUUGUGACGUUGGCACAUUUCCCAUCUGAUG
Small nucleolar RNA from Gorilla gorilla gorilla (western lowland gorilla), 104 nucleotides. The record is from Ensembl. NCBI's taxonomy places the organism in Eukaryota, Metazoa, Chordata, Mammalia, Primates, Hominidae.